RNAcentral lists this long non-coding RNA (17888 nucleotides) under Marmota monax (woodchuck). The record is from RNAcentral. Lineage: Eukaryota; Metazoa; Chordata; Mammalia; Rodentia; Sciuridae.
GAUGUGAGGCUGGCCAGAAUGACCGGCGGCUGCUCGGCACCCGGGACCCCUCGGCAGUGUCUUGUCUCAGCGUUUGGCGUCUUGGGGCUCCGGACCGCUUGACGGUGGGACCCCAGCAAGGUGCUUGGCGUCUCUGAGCCUCAUCUUUCGCUUCUGUAGAAUGGAAUAUGACCCAUUGCACCCUCACGGGAUUACCAGACGCAGAGCAUCCGUGGGUCCCGUGAGGUAAAAACGUUGUCAUCCUCGCUUUCCACGCGGGAAAACAUGGCACGGCAAAGCGAGAGACACCCCCCCCCUUCCCUGGUGACGCUUUUUGCCCGCGGACCUCCAGGGACAGAGGUGAGGCGAAGGAAAUUGGCCCUAGGCUUAUUCCCUAGGGCGGAGGAGAGAAUGUCACCGCCUCGCAGAGCCGCUGUGAGGCUCACGUGUCCUCAGUCUCAGGAUCACUUGAUGCUCCUAGCAGUGAUUGAGGGGCCAGAGGCUUUUGCUGAUAUGGGUUAUAGUUAAAUUAAAACAAGAAGUUUGACCGGCGUGGUCGCGCACGCCUCUAGUUCCAUUGACUUGGGAAGGUGCCGCAGGAGGAUCCCAAGUUCGAGGACAGCCUACGCAACUUAGUGACCCUGUCUCAAAAGGGGGAAAAUGUAAUACGUGGUAAAGCGCCCCUGGGUUAAUUCCCCAGUACUCCCCUCAAAUGUUUAGCCGUAUUUUUUAAUUUAAAAACGAACAUAUUAUAUGUAAUUAGUAGAUAAAUUUCAUAUCCCGAAAAUAAAGAAGAGUGAUGGUGUUUUACAUUUUUUGCAACUCUUUUUAAAGCUUAGUGGAUAGUAACGGGAUUCUCAGAUCUGCAUUAGGUUUGCUGCAAUGUUAAAGGUUGCUUUGGUUGACGUAUAUGAAGAAAAUCGAGCCAAUGCAGAUAUGUGAUUCAUAAAAGUAGGACCGUCAGACCUAGUCUUGAGAAUGGCUUACUGAGAGCCUCUCUGGGAACCUGCCAGGCUUUGGGAAUAACAGCGAAAUGACGCUAGAUCAUCAGGAAAAUGAUCUAACAGCUUCAAGCAUCUCUUUUUCCUCUAGCUUGGGAUAAAGGGGAGGCCAGGUGGGAGGCUGUUUAGAAUCCUCUGCAGGAAAGUUUCAGAAAUGGUAGUAAUAGCCACUCCUGGAGGUAAACAGACCCCAAAGGGGUGGAGGGAACAAGCACAGGACAGUGAGAAGACAUUAAAGUUCACCAAGGCCUGACUUCCCACACCUACAAGGCCAGGAGACCCUAAACAUGAAAGGAGAGCUGGAGUCAGAAUCAUACUAAGUAUCAAUACCACAUUAAGUCUUAAAAUAUUUGCUUGAGGAAACCUCUGUGGUGCUGGAAACAUUCUACAUCUUUACCACCACCCCCACCCACACCACCACCACCCCCCCCCAAGGAGGAGUGUUUAUCACAAAGUAUCAGCCAUAGGAAUGGGGGACAUCAGUUUUUUGGUUUGGGUGUUUUUUGUUUGUUUGUUUUGUUUGUUUGUUUUGUUUUGAUGCCUUUGCCCCACAUCCCCUCCUUUUCAAAACACCGACACAGGCUUUGUAUGGGAAGCACCAUUCCUCUAUUCAGUUUAUGUAAUCUGACUUACCUGGGCUUAAUUCCUACUCUGAAGGCUGGGCUUGUGACUUUGACACAGGCAACCAGGAAUUACAUUCCCUGGAAAUUACAUAAAGGGGUUGGUUCAGGAGGUACAGGGAGGUGAUACACAGGAUCCUGUGAAGCUCACUCCUGUGGCUUACACUGACCUGAGGGGGAGAAGCACUUUCAGAUGGCUGACAGAACAGCCUCAUUAGCUUAUGCUGCCAGUAGUGUCCCAGGCAGCAUAGGUGAAUCAACAGGAAACAGCUGGGAAAUAGCAAGUACUUUGUUGACCAGAUUGCUUUAAAGCUUCUGAGCCAAUGAAUUCCAUCUUUUGCUUAAGACAGUGUAAGCUGGAUUCUUUUUACUCCCAACUUAUAAGUCCAAACCAGGAACAAGAGUAUACUGGAUCACCUCCUCAGGUGGAUAUUGGAAGCAAAGACUGAAUGCGUAUUAUUAGAUAGGAUUCCUACAUAAGAAGUGUAUGAACUGAAUUUUAGGUCCCCCAGAAAUUCUUAUGCAGAAGGGCAAACAACAAUGUGAUGGUAUUUAGAGGUGGACUUUUUGCAAAGUCAUGAAGGUGGAACCCCUGUGAAGCAAUUAGUACCCAGCAAGAAGGCAGCCCUCAUCAGAACCCAACCAUGCUGGCACUCUGAUCUCAGAAUUAUAGCCAUCAGACUGGCACCCUGAGGACAGGAAUAGAGCUUAUAUAGACAAAAGGGUGGCUCCUGCAGGCACAGUCAACUGGUGACCACAGACUGUCUGCACCAUAAUGCUAACCAUGGUGAUCUACACGUGUAUGAAGUCCAUCUGUACUCAGCUCUCAUGUUUGGGGAAGAGAAAUUCCCAGCAAGUUCAAAGGGAAGAUGGCAGCCAUGUGCCAUGUAUGCCUCUAAACUGGCUGCAGCUGAAGUGGCAGUUGCCACAGCCUUGAUGACAGCCACAGAGGCUGGACCAAGGCUUCUGGAGUGGCAACAACGAGAGAAAUGACCUCCAGCGCAGCAGCUGCUGAGCAGUAGGUUGCUGUAGAAAGAGUGAAAGCCACGAUGGGCACAGGGGCUGCAAAGGUGGCAUAAGUGGUGCCCUGAUCCCGUCCCUACCCUACCUACACCUUGUCCACAGAACUGGUGAGGCCAUGUAGCUAUCCCCAGGGGCAACAGUGGGGACUGUCAGUCAAGUGGUGCCUGCUCUUAUUGGUCCCAGGUUGCUUUGGCCAACUGCAAAAACAACCUUUGAAAACAAAGGAGAAAAACAGAAAAACACCUUUUGGGUUGGGUCAGGCCCUUUGUAUUCUAAUCUCAUUUCCCCCUUACGAGAUUUUUAUCCUCUUUAAUCUCUCCCUUUCUUCCCCCUACUCCUUACUGGAGGCUUCACCACUGAGCUAUAUCCCCAGCCCUUUUAUUUUGAGAAGGGGUCCCACUAAGUUGCCAAGGCUGGCCUUUAACUUGCAAUGUUCCUACCUCAGGCUCUUGGGGUGACAGGCCUGCACCACUACUCCAGCUCUCCUUAAUCUUUUUUUUUUUUUUAAUUUAACGUUUUUUUAGUUGUUGAUGUACCUUUAUUUAAUUAAUUUAUUUAUAUGUGGUGUUGAGAAUUGAACACAGUGCCUAGGCAAGCGCUCUACCACUGAGCCACAACCCAGCCCCUCUCCUUAAUCUUAAGGAGUCAGGAUGAAGGUCUCUAUCUUCCGUUAACUAUUUACAGCUGACAACAGGCAUUGACCCUAUGGGUCCCUGGAGGCAUUAAAAAUCUCCCACUGACUGUUCUCAUGACCUAUAGGACCUGAUUCUUCCACUAAAGGGAAACCAUGCAUAAAUAUCAGUUUGACCAUGAACUGCUAUAACUUGGAAGACACAACUUUACCAAAAGGUUAAAAACAUGAGAAGCAAGUGUAGUGGUACUCUCCAUGCUCUCUCCCUUCUUGGUCCCUGAUGUACUUUCUUUGGAGCAGUGCCCACCUUGAUCUUCCCAACAUCCCCCCUCUUUUAGCUGCUUAGUUAUAUGCUCUGCUCUUUUUCAUUUUUCUUACCCAGUAGACCACUUUUUCUCCUGUGCCCAGCUAAUAUUUUUCCUUGUUUUCCUGCUCUACUGCGUCAUGAAGAACAGUUAUAUAUUUCCCCAUCUGCCAUUCUUUGAGCUGCCAUCUGUGAAUCAUGUGGCUGAUUCAUUAGUGCUCUUGUGUGCAAUCCAUUCUUGUCCUCCAUAUUCACUGUCCAUGACAUAUAGUGAUAUUUGCAUAGACAGACUAUACCAAAUCUACACAUUCUACCUAGCAGCCCAUGCUCACAACUCUUUGGCCACAGGCUAUGGAUACUUUUUGAAACUAUCCAUGGCUCCCUACAAUCUUUCAGAUGUCCUUUCACAUCCUUUCUUUUACACUUGUCUGAAAACAGUCCCGGGAAACAUCUGCAUCUGAUUCUCCUACUCCUGUCCUUGCAUGUCCAACCUGACUUGCUACUGGGUCUCACCACUCUCUCCCUGAGUAUUCCCACCCAUCUUAACCUCUCUUUCUUCUCCCUCAUUAGCUCUCAUCUCUUUUUAGGAGCUCUCUUUCAACACUGGCUCCAGUCCUCUCUGCUCCUACAUUCUCUGUGGACAACCGACCCACUGAACUCUAGAUAGAUGCCACCGGUGUGGUUGGAGACUGCUGGACUUGUCAGCAUCUCUCCCUGACACUGGUCACUGGUGCCUUCCUUUAACUGGUGCCUUCCACAAUGCUCAGAGUCCCUUUUCAGAUCUAGUCUGACUCUCUGUGCUUUACAUUAAAACCAAUUAUCCCAUCCUUUGGGGUAUUCACUCCCUUUCAACUGCCCUUGCUGUCUUCCUCUAAAAAGACUCAACUAUCUAUUCUGAAAAUCUUCUCAGCUAUUACCUGUCUUUAGUUAUUUUCUUACCUCAAAAUUUCUAGAACAAAUAGCCUAAAAGUGUUAACUAUCUUUACUAUCUGCUCAUUUCUCAAUCUGGUUUUCAUUACAACUUCCACCCUCCAAAUUUAGUCAGGAGUCUCUUUGGAUGUCUGCUGUGCAACACAAAUUUAACACUGAAACUGAAAUGGUGAGCAAUAGAAAUGAGAGGAAGAAAAGGUGAUGAAAGAAUAGAGGACACAAACAAGGGGUGUGGUGUUUUUUGGGUGGGGAAAGCUACACAGGGAGAGCCAGACAGAACUCUCCAUUCAUAGUUGACAGAAGCAAAGAUUCUGGCAGCCACUUAUCCGCAAGACAUGCCAAUCACCACUGUUGUUGGUCCUCUUGUUCAGGAUACUCCCUUAGUAGUUGCUAAUGAUGUUACCAAUCAGCUGAGGGUUUUUUCGUUUGUUUGUUUUGCUCAACUUGGAUAGAAAUCAUGAAAAGGCAAAGUACAGUUCCCUUUAGUGUUAUCAGCUCCAGCUCUUAUUAGUGUUAACAGUGGAGUAGCAAUGGCUAAAUCAGCGGUUGCUGCAACGACAACCACACAAUCAAGGGAGCUGCAUAGCUGGCCAAUUCCUUCCCUACUUGCUCAUCACGCAGAGCUAGUGUGGCCACUUGGCUGUGUGCUAGGGCAGCAGUGGUAGCUGUCAGUUGAAUGGCCAUGCACAAUGGCACCUCCCGGUGAUCCCAGGUGGCCUCAGCUAUCUACAAAAAUUAUGUACACACCAAAGAAAUAAAAAAAUUAAAAAAAGAAAAACCUGUAUGCAGCAAAAUUAUCCUUCAAAAGUAAAGGAGUAUCCCAUUAGCAUGUAGAACUUUUGUUUUUGCAUUUAAGGUUUUUUUUGUUGUUGUUUGUUUGUUUGUGUGUGUGUGUGUGAGUGAGAGAGAGAGAGAGAAGGAGAUGGGAUUCUGGGAAAGUGGCAGAUUAGGAAGUAACAGGAAUCCAUCUUCCCACCUAGACAACAAUUGUACUGGCAGAACCUGCUAGAACUCUAGAGGAUACUGAAGAGGAAACUCCACAGGCAGGCGUAGAUGGUCAAUUGCAGUUAAUGUUGGUCAAUUUUAGGCAUUGGCUUAACAGUAACUUCUCAUCCUUGACCCCACAACCUCAUGGUAGGCAGUCAUGCACUUGUUCCAGAAAAGCUGAUGUUCCCCAAAAUAUUCACAAACUUGAUUAAAGAUAUGAAUAUAAACAUUCAAAAGCUCAAAGAACUCCAAAUAGGAUGAAAUCAAAGAGAUCCACACUGAAACACAUUAUUAGUAAACUGUCAAAAGCCAACAGAAUUUUUUUUUUAAGUGUUGGAGAUCAAACUAAGGCCUUGUACUUACUAGGCAAUCACUCUACCAUUGAACUGUACUAUGUGCCUUUAAAUUCUCUUUUAUGACAGGGUCAGACACCUGGGACAUCUGAGUUGAGGUCUCCUCUGCUUCUAGAGAUAUGCUUGGAGCCCUGACUGAUGACAACAGCAGCUGUAACAGAGCAGUAGGGGAUGAGAUAGGUGCCUGAUGGUUAUUGGUUAAGUAUCUGGGCCACUGACACCUGCUCCCCACCAACUCCUGAUGGCUUCAACUGUUUUAAAUGAAGAAAUGUAAAAGUAUCUUUGGCCAGGCACAGUGGCACACACCUGUUAAAUCAGGAGGAUAGGCAGGAGGAUCAAAGUUCAAAGCCAGCCUGAGCAACUUAGCAAGACCCAAGGGCUCAGGAUGUAGCUCAGUACUAAAGCACCCCUGAGUUCAAUCCCCAGUAUUGGGGGGAAAAUGUAUUGAUGAUCUGUUGCAAAGAAUUUUACAUGUUACAGAUUACCCACAGAGAAUAAAAAUCUUAAUUCUCUAGAAAACAUAAGAUUCAAUAUAAAGUUAGCAUCCUCCAGUAAACUCAACCCAGCAUUUACUCAUUGCCCAAGGCAAUGUAUUCCUUGAGAAGGAUUGUAUAUUCUAUUCUGUUUUGUCAGGAAGAAAGUUCUAAAAAUCAAUAAGUUUCCACUUAGGAAACUUAAGAAUUUGAAGAGCAAAUUAAAUCCAAAGUAAACAGGAGAAAAUAAAUAUAAUAAAAAUUCCAGUAGAAAUCAAUGACAUUGGAAAUUCCUAGGAGAUCAAGAGAAAUAUCAAUGAAAUCAAAAGCUGAUUCAUUGAAAAGAUUAAUAAAAUCAAUAAGCCUCUAAUGAGGCUUAAUAAGAAAAAAAAAGAGAAGACACAAUAUUAAAAUAUUGUGAUAAUAGUGAGAGAGGACAUAUAUUAGAAAUGAAAGAAGGGACAUUAAAAGGUUAAUAAGGAAAUAUUAUGAACAAUCUUGUGCACACAAACUUGAUAAUCUAGAAUAAAUGGAACAAUACCUCAAAAAAAAAAAAAAACCUGCCAAAAUUCACAUGGAAAGAAAUAUAUAAUUAUCAAAGAAAGUGAAUUGGUAACUAAUAACCUUCUAAAACAGAAAGUGGCAGGCUCAGAUGGGUUCACUGUUGAAUUGUACCAAACAUCUGAGGAAGAGAUUAUUCCAAUCUUACAUUCUCUUCCAGAAGAUAUAAGCAAAGGGAAUACCCACCUUUUCAAUGAAUGCCCACCUUUUCAGUUGGAACAACUGAAACCAAUCUAUGCAAAACUAUUUUUAAAAUUUGAUACAGAGCUUACAUUUUCACAAAAAUAAACCAAAAAUGGAUCACAGACCAAAAUGUAAAACCAAAACUAUAAACACUCAUAGAAAGUAACAAGAGAACCAUUGGUAAUCUUGAGAUUGGCAAUAACUUUCAAAUAAAAUGCCAAAGGCACACCUAUGAUAGCAAUAACCAAAAAGAUAAACUUGAUUAAAAUUAAAAUCUGCUAUAAGAGACACUGUCAAGAGAAUGAGAAGGCCAGUCAGAGUAGGGGAAAAUAUUUAUCAAAGACAUUCUGAUAAAGGAUUGCAUUCCAGAAUCUAUUAAGAAUUCUUAUAAUUCAACAAUAAGAAAACAACCCAAUUAAAAAAUGGCAAAAGAUCUGACAAGACAUAUCACCAAAGAAAAUACAUAACUGGCAGACACCAACACCUAGUGCUGUAGAAGAGGUGGAAUAACAGGAUUUCCCAAUCAUGGCUGAGAUAGUAAUGCAAAAUGGUCUGGCCAGUUUACAAGUUUUGUACUUCUUAGAAAAGUAAAUAUAGUGUGUGUGUGUGUGUGUGUGUAUAUAUAUAUAUAUAUAUAUAUAUAUAUAUAUAUAUAUAUAUUUAGUUGUAGAUGGGUACAACAUCUUUUAUUUAUUUAUUUUUAUGUGGUGCUGAGGAUCGAACCCAGUGCCUCAUGCAUGCGAGGCAUGCAUUCUACCACUGAGCUACAACCCCAGCCCCAAAAUAUGGUCUUAAUAUAUGAUCAAGCCUUUGUGCUCCUUGGUGUUUACCCAAUUGAGAUGAAAACCUAUGUCCUCUCACAUCUAUUGACUGCAGCUUUACUCAUAACUGACAUAACUUGGAAGCAACCUGGUGGUCUUCUUCAGUAGCUAAGUGGAUAAGCAAACUGGUAUGGCCAUACAAUGCAAUAUUAUUCAGUGCUGUUUAAAGAACUGAGCUACCAAGCCAUGAAAGCCAUUCAUAUGGUAUAAAAAAAUGGAUAAAGAAAAUGUGGUACACGUACACAGUGGACUAUUACUUAGCCUUAAAGAAGAAUGAAAUUAUGUAGGUAAAUGGAUGGAACUAGAGAAUAUCAUGCUAAGUAAAAUAAGCCAAUCCCCCAAAAAACAAAGAUCAACAAAUGUUUUCUCUGAUAAGCGGAUGCUGAUCCAUAGUAGGUGUGGGGGGGUGGGGGGUUAAGGGAAGAAUGAAGGAACUUUGGAUUAUGCAGAGGGGAGUUGAGGCGGGGAGCAGUGGGAAUGGGAAGGAUGGUAGAAUGAGACAGACAAAAUUACCCUAUGUACAUGUAUGAUUACACUUCUGGUGUGACUCAGUAUCAUGUACAGCCAGAAGAAUGAGAAGUUAUGCUCCAUUUAUAUACAAUGUGUCAAAAUACAUUCUCCUGUCAUGUAUAACUAAUUAGAACAAAAAUUUUUAAGUGAUGUUUAAAAAAAAAAAAGACAUGGAGGAAUCUUAAAUGCUUAUUGCCAAGGGAAAGAAGCCAGAUUGAAAAGGUUACAUAAUGUAUAAUUCCAAACCUAUGACAUGAAAAAGGCAAAAUUAUGGAGACAGUAAAAAAGAUCAGCAGUUGCCAGGGAUUGAUGGGAGGAAGGAAAGCUUUUCUAUAUGAUACUAUAAUGGUGGAUACAUGCCAUUAUACAUUCUUCCAAACCUAUAGAAUGUACACCACCAAGAAUGAACUUACUGCAGUGAGUGGUAAUGAUGUGUCCAUGUAGGUUCAUAGUUGUAACAAAUGUACCCUUUGGUGGGGUAUGUUGAUGGUGGGGGAAUUUGUUCCCAGGCAGGGGGUGGGGUGAGAACUUUAUGUACUUUCCACUUGUACAUUCUGUGAACCUUAAACUGCUCUAAAAAUAACAUCUAUAAAUAAACAAAAUGAAUAAAAUAUUUUGGGUACUAUGGGUUGAAUCUGAGGUGCUCUACCACUGAGCUGCAUCCCCAGCCCUUUUUAUUUUUUUUAAUCAGGUUUCAUCCUUAUCAUAUUUAUCUUCAUUUAUUUAUUUUGGUGGUGUUGGGAUUAAACCCAGGGCCUUGGACAUGCUAGGCAAGCAUUUUAUCCCUGAGCUACACCCCAGCCCCACUUUUUUAUUUUGAGACAGGGUCUCAGUUGUGAUUCCUCUACCCCAGCCUCCCAAGUCACUGGAAUGACAGGCAUUGCAACACUGCACCCAACUUGAAUAAAAUAAUUUUUUAAUUAGAAAAAUAUAUAAAGAACUCCUAGAAAUCAAGUAGACACUGAGCUAAAGAGAAAAAUGGUCACAAAGUUGAAGCAAGAAAUUCACAAAAGGGGAAGCCAAAAUGCCCAACAAAAAUGUGAAAUGAUCUGAUCUGCACUAGUAACCAGGCAAAAUGCAAAUUAAAUCCACCAAUUCUAAAAGAGAUGCUUAUGUAUCAGAGAAGUACUAUCCCAUGCCUGUCCGACUGGUAAAAAUUACAGUGUCUUUGACUAUGGCCCAGGCUUAAGAGGAAACGGGUAACAGGAUCUCUUCAGGUAGGGCUGUUUAAGACAUGAAGACUUGAUUGGACAAUGUAGUAACCUAAGGCUGCCAGGUGCUAGGACAUCUCCCUCCUGGUAUGUGCCCUAACAAGUCUCUUUCCACAUGUAUAGAAGGAAACAAGAACAGCAGUACUCUCUUAAUAAAUGACUUAAAUGUCCAUCAACAGGAGAAAUCAAUGAAUUGCAUUACAGUGGAUUCGCCAAAAGAUCACACAACAGUUAAAAUAAAUGCACUUGGUCCUUAUUUAUCAAUGGGAUGAAUCAGAAAUAUAAAGCUGAGAAAAAAACUUUUCAGAAGGGUAUGUGUAGUGUGAUUUCAUUCAUAUAUGGAGUAGACUCCUGCAACUUGACAUCUUAUCAUGUCUCUGGCACAUAGCCAAAGAAUAACAAUAUACGGCCCAUUGAUAAACCCUGAAUUCAGGACCCUGAUUUUGUACAAGGGGUGAGGCUGGGAGAUACAUAGGGAACUCAGUGGCAUUUGUAACGUUUUACUUCUCAUAUAUCAAAAACAAAUGAGGUGCUGGGAGCAGUGGCACAUGCCUGUAAUUCCAGCGGCUCAGAAGGCUGAGGCAGGAGGAUGAGAGUUCAAAGCCAGCCUCAGUAACUUUGUGAGACUCUAAGUGACUUAGAGAGAUCUUGUCCCAAAAAAUAAAAUGAGCUGGUGACAUGGCUCAGUGGUUAAGUGUCCCCUGGGUUCAAUCCUUGGUACAAAAUACUAAUAAUAGUAAAAUAAAUUAUCUUGCCUUAGGGGCACAUGUUUAUGCCCCGAUGCUUUGCUGAUGCCAGAGUAUGGGACAGUGAGUCUAUACAAUCCUCCAAACCCUGGCUGGAGAGUUGUCAAUGGAACUUUCAAAGAAGUCUUUGAGCUCAGUUUCAAUAAACAGCAAAUGCUAAGGAGGGAGAAUUCAUGGGGUGAGAGUCCUAACAGGCAAGGCCAGGGAGAGUAGGAGGUGUCUGUUAGGGACUGACUGGACUUUGAAAGAGACCAUUACUGGGGAGAAACUAGCUCUAUAGCACUGCAGGUUGGGGUGGAAGGGGAUCCCUGAGACAUCAUGGCGUUAUUUCCCUGGCUUGGAUACACCAAUUCUAAAAGAGACGCUUAUGUCUCUUUUAGAAUUGGUGUAUCCAAUACAGCGGAACCAACCUCAUGUGUGCCAGGCAGGGUACCCUUUUCUUUUCAUUCCCCACAUAGUUCCUGAGAAGGAUCAGGAAACACCACAACAAUCCUUGGCUUGGAACUGGCCACAGGGUACCACUAAUGAGGUCAGACUGGGACCCACUGUCAAGGCAGAGAAUAGUCACAAGACAAGGCUUAAUAAAAUAGAGGGUCCCAGUCCUUGAACAUGGCUUGAUGGUACAGGAAGAGGUGGUACAGAGCAAAGCUCCAGGGUACUGGAGAAGACAGCAGGAAGCACCAAGAAACCUGGCCAGAAACCUGUGGGAGAGGCAGACAAAGGCAAGCCAGCUGCCUGCAGGAGUGGCAAGGGAGGCACCUUCAAGAGCUUUUGGGAGGAUAGAUGGGAACAGUGAUGGUGGGUCCCAGACAGACGCAAACUUCCUUGAGUCACUGGGUUAUACAAGUGCUUUGGGUAACAAUGACUAAGAGCUAGACGAUGGUGCAGGGCAGGCUUGACUAGUGGGAUUCAUGGCCAUCUUGGUUCCUAAGAGAAACUGCAGGAAUGUGUCACCAUUCAUAUGUGCAAGGCAAAUGCCAGAACCCUGAAGCUACCCCGGUGGGGUUUCCAGGCAAUGGGGCCAGCCUGCCAGAAAGCAGCUGGGAGGUACCCAAAGGUAGAGGAAUAAACAGGCAGGCGCCAGCCUACACCAAUGUCAUGGAAAUACCCCACAAUAUUGCCAGGCAAGAACUGGGGCCAACAACCUGACAAUGCUGCCUGGGAACUAGAAUUUACCAGAUUCAGUCCACUUGGCUCCAGGAAGAUGCCCCUGUUUGCAGGACCAAAAGGGAGAAACAAUAGUCCCCUGGGAUAGAAGCUGGGGGUGGGGCUGCACAGAAGACAGGAAUGCAGUGGCUGGCUUAGGGCUGCUCCCAAGGGACCUCCCUGCCCAGUAUACUCCCACGAGGAUGCCUAGAACCUGGCUCCCUCUUUCUCUUAUGAGCCCCUGCUCCAGGGAAAGGAUGUCCUCCCCUGGCGCCAGCCAAGUCCCUUAUGAUAAGCCCUUACAUGCAUAAAUGACUCACAGUUCUCAAGAAUGUCAACCUGCUUCACCACCCAGCAGCCAGAAAGUUGUAUUAUAAAAAUAAUUAGAAAACAGUCAAUCCUAGAAGGCUACAGAGUCCCUGACUCACUGACCAAAGAGUUGGUUCCACAGUUUUCUGAUGAGAAAAAUUGUUCAAGCAUAAAUACCUCAUAAUACAGGAGCUAGUGGGGCCAUGAAAAAACAGUACAUUCUUUUCUGCACUAUGAUGUGUCAUCUCACCAGGUGCAGUGUUUCUGGGGGACAAUUUGGCAACAUCUAUUAAAAUAUAAUUACACAGAGGCUGGGGAUGUAGCUCAGUGAUGGUAUUCACCUUGUAUAUGCAAGACCCUGGGUUUAAUCCCCAGCAACAAAAUAAAAUUUAAAAGUAUGCAAAAACCAUCUCCUAGGAAUUUAUUCUAGAUAUGUCUUUGGAUCAAGAUAAACCCUACUAGGGUUUCUGUCUCAAUUCUUCUGACAUUUGGGCUGGAGAAUUGUGGAAGGUUGUUGUGGGUUGUGUUCUGGGUUCUGGUGUGAUAGUUAUGGGGUACCAAGACAUCUGAUCAAGCAUUAUUCUGUAUGUGCCUGUGAAGGUGUUUCAGGAUGAAAUUGGUGUUUGAACCAGCAGAAUAGUUGUCUUAUUCAUUUGUGUUGCUGGUGGCUUAUAAACAACAGAAAUUUACUUCUCAUAGUCCUGGAGGCUGAAAGUUCAAGAUUAAGGGGCUGGCAGACUGGUAAGGGCCUGUUCCCCAUAGACAGCACCUUCCAUGUGUCCUCAAUUAGCAGACCCGGGUGAACAAGCUCCUUUGAUGCUGUCAUAAGGGCACUGAUCCCAUUCAUGAGGUUCCUGCCCCGUGACUUAAUCACCUUCCCAAGCUCCCAACUCUAAUACCACCAUAACCCUGGGGAUUAGGAUUUCAACAUAUUAAUUAGGGGCGGGGCACCACCUUCAGUCCACAGCACUGAGUAAAACCAAUGGCCCUCCCUAAUUUAGAGAGGCUACAGCCACCAAUUUGAAGGCCCAAAUGCAACAGAAAGGCUGACCUUCUCCUGAGUAGGGGAAUAACCCCUGCCUCCAGCCUUCAAACUGGGACAUGCCUUUUUCUUGGCUCUUACUGAGUCUCCACCUGCCAGUCUUUGGACUGGGAUACAUGGCCAGCUUCCCCCAGCUUCUAGGCUGCUAACUCACCCUGCAGAUUCUGGAACUUGUCACGCCCUGACUGUGUGAUAAUAAAUCACACAGUCUAUUGGUUCUCUUUCUCUGGAGAACCCUGAAAAGUAUAAAAUGUGAGCAGCAUCCUUGAUAUUUGCCUAUUAGCACCCCCACCACAGUUGUGACAACCAAAAAUGUCUCUGAACAGAUGUCCCCUGAGGGAGCCACCACUUACACACAUUCCCAGGAAGGAAAGUCCAAUUCACUUGAUUCAGGCCCAGGGCAGGGAGGUAAUGCAUAUUAUCUUAGAGAGGGGAUGACUAGGAGCUAUGAUGGGGGACAGGGGAUGAACUUAAGGCUGAUGAGAAGAGACCAAGAGAAAAGACCUUUAGGGAGAGGGAGGAGCAAGUCCAAGGCCCCAAGGAAGGCACAAGCCUGAGAUCCCUAGAGGCAGACACAGGGGAAGGCAGAACAGAAGGGGAAGUGGGGGUUUUCUCCAAGUUCAACGAGAAGUGGUGGAAGAACUGUAAGAUGGGAGAUAAGAUUUAGUGUACAUUUUGACAUGACCACACAGUUCCCCAAGGAGGAAGAACCAGCACUAGCCAGGCCCCCGACCAAGAGUAAAAUGGCACAAACCCCAAUAGGCAGCAGCAGGGCUUAGCAGUGACCACUAGAAACCCCUUAGGUUAGUACCCUGGGCUGGGCCACCCUUGCAAGGAAGGGAUUGAAUUCUUGUUCCCCAGGGUAUGGAGACAGGGAACAGAUGAGCAUCCAACCACAACACAGUAGGAUUAGGACUUUCUUACACCAGAGUUGUGGCACCAAGGUUAAGCCCACUGCACCGACAGACACACAUGCCAAAGUACACAUCAGAGGCGUGCCCUGUAGAGGUUUCUAUAGGCAAACUGGAAACUACCUCCAAGCCAUCAGCUGGGGACAGGUCAUCCUGUGGUGCAGGAUGGGGGAUACAUUUGAAGGAAAGGUGGAGAGAUCCGAGGUGGCAAGAAAGACCUCCAGGUGCAAGACAGUGUGUAGAGCGCGGCCUCUGAUAAUAGCAUUUUUAGAGUAUACACUACACUCUUAUGAAUCUCAGAGCAUUAAAGAGCAGGCUAAACUCUGAAUCAUUAUGCAGAACAAAAGGAACACAAGCAAAAUCCCAUUCCCCAACAGAAAACAGAUGUGUGGUUACCUGGGACCAGAUCCGGUGAGUGAGAAUAUACAUUUGUAACAUUUUCCCAGGUGGUGCUGCUGAGCACCCCACUUUGAGAAGUACAACAGUAGUAACAGGUGACUUGCAUGGGGCAUACCCAGGCAGGUGCUUUUAUUUAUUUAUUUUUUUUAGUUGUUUCUGGAUCUUUUUUUUUAUUUAUUUGUAUCAGGUGCUAAGAAUUGAACCCAGUGCCUCACACAAACUAGGCAAGUGCUCUACUACUGAGCUACAACUCCAACCCCAGGCAGGUGCUUUUUGAAGCUGGUUACCUACACUAUUUAUUUAGUUCUUAUACAACCUUAUGAGGUUGGCACCAUAGCUGUCCCAUUUGUUGGUGAAGAAACUGAGGACGAUACAUUGAGUCAUCUGCUCACAUUCUCACAAGUAAGUGACGGUAGAGGUCCUAAGCUAGGCAUCCUGGCUUUAAGGGUCUGUCUUCUUACACUGCAGACAUACAUGGCGUCUCCAUUUUCCGAGGAUACUGAGGCUCAGAGGAGUUAGAAAGAAUUAGAAUCUCAGUCUCCUUGCUGAACUGUUGCCUGUUGUCCACUGGGAUACAGUUCAUGUACCUGACACCUGCAGGAUUAGGGCACUUGGAGAAAACUGUUGAUGUGAGCUCUGUCCACAUGGGCUGCAGAAAGCACCUAAAGAAAGAACACUCUUAGGAUGAAACUCACCUAUCCAAAACCAGAGGGUUGGUGAGGCCCUUUCAGCCUGUGGCCUGCAUUCCCAGGUAAACUGGAGGCUUGCAGGGUUGAUGGAGGGGACAUAGUGCUUCCACCCCCCGCACAUCACUUCCCUUUGAAACUACCAGGUAGCAGUCAUGGCAUUUGGAAAGAAAUGAUCCCAUCCCAGCUCCUUGAGGGGACUCACAUUAGCCUCAGCCAUGGGCCACUCUCCACAUGGCAUUCCCUGAUCCUGUUAGACAAGCAACCCAAGUCAAGCCAGAACUAUGUCUUAUGGAUGGAGAGAAAGGAGCUGUCUUCUUGGAUAAUGUGCCAUGUGAGACCAGAGUAGCUCCGGAAGCCAGUUUGUAACUUUUCCAUCCUCAGCAUGAAGCUAUGUGGAGAGGAGGGCAGAGAACUGAGCAGCCAUAGGGUCAUGUGUUAGCAUCCUAUUACCAUAACAAAAUACCUGAGAUGAUUUUUAAAAAGUUUAUUUUGGCUCACAGUUUUGGGGGUUCCAGGCCAUGACCAGUUGCUCUCCUUUGCUUUGAGCCUGUGGAGAGGCAGCACAUGUGGCAAGAGCAAAUGGCAAAGAAAAACUGUUCACCUCAUCAGUCAGGAAGCAAAAGAGAAGGAAGAAAGGGCUAGGGUCACACAAUCCCUUUGAGGACACACAAGGACCUCCCACAGGACCCCAGCUCCACGACUCUACAAUUUCCCAACAGGGUCACCACGGGGACCAAGCCUUUAACACCUGGGCCUUUGGGGAACACUUAUCCAGACCUCAGCAGGCCAUAACCCUGAACAAGCUGCUCUUGGAGGUAGACUGCCUUGUGAAGAUUCAAAUACAUACACAGAUUUUCUUGACUGAAGCCAGAGUUCAGUUACUCGUAACCAAAAGCACCCUAAUGGGCAUAAGUGUCUCAACCUUAAGGUGAAAGGAGUGAUAUCCGGGUGAUAGGGACCAGUACUGUAGUUACAACUGGGAAAAGAGGAAGCCUGAUCCCCCAGUCUCCUUCUAAAGUACCUCCUGGAUCAGAAAAAGGACAAUAACCUUGAUUUUGAAGAGCCAUGAGGCUGCAGUUUCAGAGAAAGUUUGUCAACUAGUGCUGCCUUCCUUCUCAGAGCCACUGCUUUGAGAAGUGGCCACUAAACUGAGGGCAGGAGUCAGAAUGUCAGGAUUGGCUGCUAGGAGCCAAGGAGAUCCUCAAGCCUCAGGUGGAUAGUUUCAAUGCUUUUUUUUUUUCCACUGCAUACUUUUGAUGUUCAUACAUGCUACAGCUUUUUCUGUUUGUUUGUUUGUUUCAACCAACUAGUAUUCAUACCACAUUGUGUUUUACACAUCCAUCAGUUGACAGGCAAUUGAAUUUCUCCAUUCAUUGGCUAUCAUGAAUAAUAAUGUCAUAUACAUUCACGUACAAGCCUCUGAAUGAAUGUCAUGUUGAUUUCUCUUGAGAAGAAUUCUAAGAAUAAAUUUCCUGGGUCUUAUAAUGCUUGUCUCUUUCAGAAACUGCCAAACUAUUCUGAUAAGUUUGUAUCAUUGGUGCUAUACAAUUUUACAUUCUGACCAGCAAUUUAUAGGGAUUCUGGUUGCUAGCAGCUUUACCAGCAUGAUGUAUUAGCCAUUUAUGUUUUCUUUGCUGAAAUGUCUAUUCAAAUAUUUAACCCAAUUUUAAAUUGAGUUGCUUGUGAGACUGAAUAUACAAAAAUGGAACUUUGACCCACUGCCUGUAGUGACCUGCCCGGGAAACUAUCCCCUUAUCUACAGUAACCAGCCCAGGAGAGCAGUCAGCUAUAGGUCAAAUCUGAAGUGACAACUUCUAUGAUAAUCCAGGAAGCUACCCAUUAACUUUUGUAAUAAUUAGCCUGAAUUGGCCAGGACUUGAUCAAUGACUGACAGCUUCCCUAAUUUUUGUCCCAGCUUCCAGUGGAGGACCCACCACAGAAAGCCAGAUGCGCCUACCUAACCCAUCACAUGUGGUUCAGCUGCCUCCAGUUUCCUAGGCAACAGCUUCACAUCAGGGCUCACUAGAGUCCCUGCGCCCCAUGGCUAAGCCCUUUCCACUCUUCUGCCUGCCUUUGAAUCUCUGCCAAACAAGUGACAGUAACCAACACCCUUUGCAAAGCAAGUUCUGAGCAUUUAUUUCAACCUUUGUCUCCUCAUUAUUGAGUUAUAGGAUUUCCUUGUACAUUUUGAAGGUAAGUCAUUUAUCAGAUAUACAAUGAGCAAAUAUUUUUCCCAGUAAGUGGUUCAUCUUCAUCCUCUCAAUGUUUUCUUUGGAAUCACAACAUGUUUCAUUUUAAUGAAGCCAUUUAACAGUUUUCCUUUACAGUUUAUCUUUUUGGUAUCACAUCUUUAAAAAAAAUCUUUGUCUAAAUCUAAUUGCAAAUAAUUCUGGUAGGUUUUUUACUUCUGACACGUAGUUCCAUUAUGGUGAGAGAGCGUAUUACGUAUUUCUGGUCUUUUAAAUUUGUGAAGGUAACCCCAGAAUGUGGUCUAUCUUGAUGAAUGUUCUAUGUGAGCCUGAGAAGAAUGCAUACUCUAUUUUGUUAGAUGAAGUAUUCUACAGACACUAAUUCAAUCCAGUAGAUUGAUAAAUUAGUGAAGCUAAUCUGUGAUGAUUAAUUUUAUGUUAAAGUUGAGUCAUAGUGUCCAGAUAUAUAGUCAAACAUUAUUCUGGGUCUGCCAGUCAGCUUUCUGUCAUGGGGACAGAAUACCUAAGGAAAGAUUUAUUUUGGCUCACAGUUUCAGUCCACGGUCACUUGGAUCCACCAUUUCUGGGCCUAUGGUGAGGCAGUCUAUAAUGGAGGGAGGACAUGGUAGAGAAAAGCUGCUGACCCCAUGACAUUCAUUACAGGGACUGGGGAACGGAGCCAGGGACAAGAUGCAAGGAUGUUCCUUCAUGGACUACUCCCUCCAAAUAGGCCUAUCUCCUUAAGUUUCCACACCUUCUAACAGUACCACCAGUUGGGGACCACGCUUUCACCACAUGAGCCUUUGGGGGACAAACUGUAACACUGGGUGUAAGGGUAUGUUGAAUGACAUUAGUAUUUAAAUUGGUGGA